UGUACACACCGCCCGUCACACCACGAGAGUUUGUAACACCCGAAGUCGGUGAGGUAACCAUUUGGAGCCAGCCGCCUAAGGUGGGAUAGAUGAUUGGGGUGAAGUCGUAACAAGGUAGCCGUAUCGGAAGGUGCGGCUGGAUCACCUCCUUU
Molecule: ribosomal RNA, 152 nt
Filed under: Streptococcus parasanguinis
Lineage: Bacteria; Bacillati; Bacillota; Bacilli; Lactobacillales; Streptococcaceae
Also listed under: 1 other name
Description: partial 16S ribosomal RNA
Rfam family: Bacterial small subunit ribosomal RNA
Source: RNAcentral